Molecule: ribosomal RNA, 625 nt
Filed under: Vibrio sp.
Lineage: Bacteria; Pseudomonadati; Pseudomonadota; Gammaproteobacteria; Vibrionales; Vibrionaceae
Description: bacterial SSU rRNA
Rfam family: Bacterial small subunit ribosomal RNA
Source: RNAcentral
GCAGCCAUGCCGCGUGUGUGAAGAAGGCCUUCGGGUUGUAAAGCACUUUCAGUCGUGAGGAAGGUAGUUGCGUUAAUAGCGUAAUUAUUUGACGUUAGCGACAGAAGAAGCACCGGCUAACUCCGUGCCAGCAGCCGCGGUAAUACGGAGGGUGCGAGCGUUAAUCGGAAUUACUGGGCGUAAAGCGCAUGCAGGUGGUUUGUUAAGUCAGAUGUGAAAGCCCGGGGCUCAACCUCGGAAUUGCAUUUGAAACUGGCAGACUAGAGUACUGUAGAGGGGGGUAGAAUUUCAGGUGUAGCGGUGAAAUGCGUAGAGAUCUGAAGGAAUACCGGUGGCGAAGGCGGCCCCCUGGACAGAUACUGACACUCAGAUGCGAAAGCGUGGGGAGCAAACAGGAUUAGAUACCCUGGUAGUCCACGCCGUAAACGAUGUCUACUUGGAGGUUGUGGCCUUGAGCCGUGGCUUUCGGAGCUAACGCGUUAAGUAGACCGCCUGGGGAGUACGGUCGCAAGAUUAAAACUCAAAUGAAUUGACGGGGGCCCGCACAAGCGGUGGAGCAUGUGGUUUAAUUCGAUGCAACGCGAAGAACCUUACCUACUCUUGACAUCCAGAGAAGCCAGCGGAG